RNAcentral lists this ribosomal RNA (253 nucleotides) under uncultured bacterium. RNAcentral describes it as "partial 16S ribosomal RNA". It matches the Rfam family "Bacterial small subunit ribosomal RNA", at positions 524 to 776 of the family's 1533-position model. The record is from RNAcentral.
UACGUAGGGUGCGAGCGUUAAUCGGAAUUACUGGGCGUAAAGCGUGCGCAGGCGGUUUUGUAAGCCAGAUGUGAAAUCCCCGGGCUUAACCUGGGAAUGGCAUUCGGGACUGCAAGGCUUGAGUGCGGCAGAGGAGACUGGAAUUCCUGGUGUAGCAGUGAAAUGCGUAGAUAUCAGGAGGAACACCGAUGGCGAAGGCAGGUCUCUGGGCUGACACUGACGCUCAUGCACGAAAGCGUGGGGAGCAAACAGG